CAUCAUUUAAAGAAAGCGUAAUAGCUCACUGGUCGAGUCGGCCUGCGCGGAAGAUGUAACGGGGCUAAACCAUGCACCGAAGCUGCGGCAGCGACACUAUGUGUUGUUGGGUAGGGGAGCGUUCUGUAAGCCUGUGAAGGUGUACUGUGAGGUAUGCUGGAGGUAUCAGAAGUGCGAAUGCUGACAUAAGUAACGAUAAAGCGGGUGAAAAGCCCGCUCGCCGGAAGACCAAGGGUUCCUGUCCAACGUUAAUCGGGGCAGGGUGAGUCGACCCCUAAGGCGAGGCCGAAAGGCGUAGUCGAUGGGAAACAGGUUAAUAUUCCUGUACUUGGUGUUACUGCGAAGGGGGGACGGAGAAGGCUAUGUUGGCCGGGCGACGGUUGUCCCGGUUUAAGCGUGUAGGCUGGUUUUCCAGGCAAAUCCGGAAAAUCAAGGCUGAGGCGUGAUGACGAGGCACUACGGUGCUGAAGCAACAAAUGCCCUGCUUCCAGGAAAAGCCUCUAAGCAUCAGGUAACAUCAAAUCGUACCCCAAACCGACACAGGUGGUCAGGUAGAGAAUACCAAGGCGCUUGAGAGAACUCGGGUGAAGGAACUAGGCAAAAUGGUGCCGUAACUUCGGGAGAAGGCACGCUGAUAUGUAGGUGAAGUCCCUUGCGGAUGGAGCUGAAAUCAGUCGAAGAUACCAGCUGGCUGCAACUGUUUAUUAAAAACACAGCACUGUGCAAACACGAAAGUGGACGUAUACGGUGUGACGCCUGCCCGGUGCCGGAAGGUUAAUUGAUGGGGUUAGCGGUAACGCGAAGCUCUUGAUCGAAGCCCCGGUAAACGGCGGCCGUAACUAUAACGGUCCUAAGGUAGCGAAAUUCCUUGUCGGGUAAGUUCCGACCUGCACGAAUGGCGUAAUGAUGGCCAGGCUGUCUCCACCCGAGACUCAGUGAAAUUGAACUCGCUGUGAAGAUGCAGUGUACCCGCGGCAAGACGGAAAGACCCCGUGAACCUUUACUAUAGCUUGACACUGAACAUUGAGCCUUGAUGUGUAGGAUAGGUGGGAGGCUUUGAAGUGUGGACGCCAGUCUGCAUGGAGCCGGCCUUGAAAUACCACCCUUUAAUGUUUGAUGUUCUAACGUUGGCCCCUGAUCGGGGUUGCGGACAGUGUCUGGUGGGUAGUUUGACUGGGGCGGUCUCCUCCUAAAGAGUAACGGAGGAGCACGAAGGUUGGCUAAUCCUGGUCGGACAUCAGGAGGUUAGUGCAAUGGCAUAAGCCAGCUUGACUGCGAGCGUGACGGCGCGAGCAGGUGCGAAAGCAGGUCAUAGUGAUCCGGUGGUUCUGAAUGGAAGGGCCAUCGCUCAACGGAUAAAAGGUACUCCGGGGAUAACAGGCUGAUACCGCCCAAGAGUUCAUAUCGACGGCGGUGUUUGGCACCUCGAUGUCGGCUCAUCACAUCCUGGGGCUGAAGUAGGUCCCAAGGGUAUGGCUGUUCGCCAUUUAAAGUGGUACGCGAGCUGGGUUUAGAACGUCGUGAGACAGUUCGGUCCCUAUCUGCCGUGGGCGCUGGAGAACUGAGGGGGGCUGCUCCUAGUACGAGAGGACCGGAGUGGACGCAUCACUGGUGUUCGGGUUGUCAUGCCAAUGGCACUGCCCGGUAGCUAAAUGCGGAAGAGAUAAGUGCUGAAAGCAUCUAAGCACGAAACUUGCCCCGAGAUGAGUUCUCCCUGACUCCUUGAGAGUCCUGAAGGAACGUUGAAGACGACGACGUUGAUAGGCCGGGUGUGUAAGCGCAGCGAUGCGUUGAGCUAACCGGUACUAAUGAACCGUGAGGCUUAACCUU
RNAcentral lists this ribosomal RNA (1830 nucleotides) under Escherichia coli BIDMC 9. Its description in RNAcentral is "bacterial LSU rRNA". It matches the Rfam family "Bacterial large subunit ribosomal RNA", at positions 1117 to 2925 of the family's 2925-position model. The record is from RNAcentral. Lineage: Bacteria; Pseudomonadati; Pseudomonadota; Gammaproteobacteria; Enterobacterales; Enterobacteriaceae.